AUUAUGACCGCCGUCGUCAUAGUGGGCCUGGCCUUUUUCAUCUUCUGGCUCAUAGUCCGCCCCAACCACAUCAAGUUCCACGUCACCGAAGCCCACCUCACCCAAUUCAACUUCUCCAAUGACAGCACCCUCCACUACAACCUCGCCCUCAACCUCACCAUCCGCAACCCCAACAAGAAGAUCGGGGUCUACUACGACCGCAUCGAGGCCAGGGCCAUCUACGAGGACCAGAGGUUCAGCACGUACACCUCGACGACGCCCUUUUACCAAGGGCACAAGACAACGAACGUGGUGAACCCGGUGUUCCAGGGCCAGCAGGUGAUCCCAGACACGAAAGUGCUCUCCGAGUACAAUGAGCAGAAGAAUAGUGGGGUUUACG
This 379-nucleotide long non-coding RNA is filed under the name Prunus persica (peach). RNAcentral describes it as "long non-coding RNA (PPER_LNC007344)". Lineage: Eukaryota; Viridiplantae; Streptophyta; Magnoliopsida; Rosales; Rosaceae. The record is from RNAcentral.